CUAGCCUCGCCGCCGGUGAAACAUCUCCACCGCCGCCAGAUUCGAGGAAAACACCAGAGGAGAUCCCUGUGAGUCGCUGGACUACGUUCAUGAACUCAGACGCGGUUGCGUGUACAACCUUGGGGGAU
Arabidopsis thaliana (thale cress) is the source of this 128-nucleotide non-coding RNA. RefSeq annotates it as other RNA. The transcript has a single exon. The record is from RefSeq. Lineage: Eukaryota; Viridiplantae; Streptophyta; Magnoliopsida; Brassicales; Brassicaceae.